Lolium rigidum is the source of this 251-nucleotide long non-coding RNA. RefSeq lists it as uncharacterized. The transcript has 3 exons. NCBI's taxonomy places the organism in Eukaryota, Viridiplantae, Streptophyta, Magnoliopsida, Poales, Poaceae. The record is from RefSeq and is a predicted model, not a curated record.
GAUUCAUUUGCUUUACUUUGCUAAUGGUUAAUGAAAAUUCAUUGUUUGGUUAUAUUAAUCAGGAGUCUGUAUCCCAAGUAAUGGAAAUUACUGGGACUUUCAAGUGCAGAGCUAAGACGAUGGUUGAUGUUGCUAUUCAGCGGUUGGACAACUUCUCCGUGCCACAAGAAUAUCUAACGGACUGAAGUUUGAGGCAAACAAGAGAGGAGAGGAACAGUAUGCAAGGUCAAGAUGGGGUCAAUUCUAGGGUG